CUGGGAAUUGAUAGGCACUGGCUGUGACUGGCAGCCAGAUCGAGAAGUCCCAGGAUGUGCCUUUGUCACUCACGCCAUGUAAAACUCUGCACAUCAUGGCAGAGAGGAGACCUGGAAAUGGAGGGUAGCAAUUCCAAACUCAACAGUCCGGCCAAGAGUUUUGAUGAGGACGGACUAUUUGUGGAGUUAGGAUCAAGUGCGUUCUGAUUAUCCACAUCCCUGCUCAUGCUCCCACUGCAACCCUGAGGGAUCCCGGGAUCACGACCUCCGCAGAUCAGCAGACAGGUCUUUAAUUGUGCUUUACUGGAGUCCUCCUCAGUCAAAAUGGCAGACUUAACAGGGAACACACGUGCCUAGUGGUGACAAUGUCUCCAAUCCAAGAAGCCCUUGCCAAGACCACAGAAUUUUCCCAAGAAGCCCUUAAAUGCUGUCUCCUAAAUUGCAAUGACUUUUUCUGGACUUUAUCUUAUGUCCCUGUGUAAUCUCGCAAAGAAAGAAAGCACGAUUAUGUCCAGCCCUGUGUUCCUUGUAUCCCGUAAGCCCUAAGAAACUCCCUGGGUUGCCUUGUCAAUGGGUCAGAGCCACGGGCUUAUAUGUGACAUCUUAUAAAAUGCAGAGAUCCGCCAGACUGGACCUGCUUCGUAGGACUCUUCUGUCAUCCCUGCUGCAGAAGCCAGCCCGGCAUGCCUGAACCAGCCUGGCAUCUCCCUGUUGUUCCAUGGGAUAUGAUCCUUUCUUCUUAUACGUACCAAGGCAUCCAAGAUUCUUCUCAGUUACUGCCCAUCAACUCCCAUCAGCAUGGUGCCAUCAAAUCUAGCUUACCUAAUGCAUUGUGGAAUAAAGCCUGAAGUUUUGUAAACCAAAAUAUCAACAGCGUCGAACUAUUCCCACCAGACAGAAGCAGGCCCGGCUGUCUCUACUGAACGGGAUAGAGAGGGAGCCAGCAAGUAUCAGAGGUAGAAUCAGGCUUGCUGUCUUCCGACAUUUCUUGUUGUUAGCAGUCUUUAGUUUCUCUUUCUGUCGCUCUGGAACCCAGGGCUCCACACAUGCAAUGUCAGGGAUCUACUACUGAGCAACUCUCCCGCCCCUAGUCUUUAAUUCUUGGAAUUUUUUGUUUGUUUGCUGGAAGAGUUGAGGAGACAGUACAGCAGUUUCCCAUAAUUCUCCUGGCACUCCCAUAUUUGUAUGGAACAUUUGCUAUAACUAAUGAGCCAAUAUUGACACACUAUCAAUAAAUACAGUCCACGGUUCA
Long non-coding RNA from Mesocricetus auratus (golden hamster), 1252 nucleotides. RefSeq lists it as uncharacterized. The transcript is spliced from 3 exons. NCBI's taxonomy places the organism in Eukaryota, Metazoa, Chordata, Mammalia, Rodentia, Cricetidae. The record is from RefSeq and is a predicted model, not a curated record.